UACGUAGGGGGCGAGCGUUAUCCGGAAUUAUUGGGCGUAAAGGGCGCGUAGGCGGAUAUUUAAGUCAGGUGUGAAAACCCAGGGCUCAACCCUGGAACUGCAUCUGAAACUGGGUAUCUUGAGGACAGGAGAGGAAAGUGGAAUUCCUAGUGUAGCGGUGAAAUGCGUAGAUAUUAGGAGGAACACCAGUGGCGAAGGCGACUUUCUGGACUGUAACUGACGCUGAGGCGCGAAAGCGUGGGGAGCAAACAGGAUUAGAUACCCUGGUAGUCCACGCCGUAAACGAUGAGUGCUAGGUGUAGGGGGUAUCGACCCCUCCUGUGCCGCAGUUAACACAAUAAGCACUCCGCCUGGGGAGUACGGCCGCAAGGUUGAA
This 376-nucleotide ribosomal RNA is filed under the name uncultured bacterium. RNAcentral's name for it is "bacterial SSU rRNA". It matches the Rfam family "Bacterial small subunit ribosomal RNA", at positions 524 to 898 of the family's 1533-position model. The record is from RNAcentral.